UCUAUUUACCCUUUAGUAAAAGGAAGAGAGGAGAAGAAGAGAAGGGAAGAGAGAUAAAUUGCUGUAGAGAUCGAUUUGCUUGGGAGAUUGCUAGAGGAUUCAGCAAAAAGAUUUUUAGGAAUCCCAGAUAGCCAUGAGAGAGAUUCCUCAGCACCAGGAGGAAUUGUGGACCCUGAUAUUCACGGCAUGGGCAUGACUGCGAAUGUGAUGAUUGUGCAUACAGUGGACAGCAAUAUUGAGGACUGAUGUGAUUGAUUAUCCUUUUGGCGUAUAUAUGUGGAUAGUGGUGGAAAUCAAUUUUUGUUGAUACAGGUUGGAGGGUAAAACUACUAGGAAGAUAUUUUGUGUAAAUAUUUGUUUUAG
This is a long non-coding RNA of Macadamia integrifolia, 363 nucleotides long. RefSeq lists it as uncharacterized. Lineage: Eukaryota; Viridiplantae; Streptophyta; Magnoliopsida; Proteales; Proteaceae. The transcript has 3 exons. The record is from RefSeq and is a predicted model, not a curated record.